RNAcentral lists this ribosomal RNA (549 nucleotides) under Trichoderma harzianum. Its description in RNAcentral is "eukaryotic LSU rRNA". The stretch from base 165 to 318 matches the Rfam family "5.8S ribosomal RNA". The record is from RNAcentral. Lineage: Eukaryota; Fungi; Ascomycota; Sordariomycetes; Hypocreales; Hypocreaceae.
CCAAUGUGAACCAUACCAAACUGUUGCCUCGGCGGGGUCACGCCCCGGGUGCGUCGCAGCCCCGGAACCAGGCGCCCGCCGGAGGGACCAACCAAACUCUUUCUGUAGUCCCCUCGCGGACGUUAUUUCUUACAGCUCUGAGCAAAAAUUCCAAAAUGAAUCAAAACUUUCAACAACGGAUCUCUUGGUUCUGGCAUCGAUGAAGAACGCAGCGAAAUGCGAUAAGUAAUGUGAAUUGCAGAAUUCAGUGAAUCAUCGAAUCUUUGAACGCACAUUGCGCCCGCCAGUAUUCUGGCGGGCAUGCCUGUCCGAGCGUCAUUUCAACCCUCGAACCCCUCCGGGGGUCCGGCGUUGGGGAUCGGGAACCCCUAAGACGGGAUCCCGGCCCCGAAAUACAGUGGCGGUCUCGCCGCAGCCUCUCAUGCGCAGUAGUUUGCACAACUCGCACCGGGAGCGCGGCGCGUCCACGUCCGUAAAACACCCAACUUCUGAAAUGUUGACCUCGGAUCAGGUAGGAAUACCCGCUGAACUUAAGCAUAUCAAUAAGCG